UGUCGAUAUUAUGGCAAGAACAGCUCAAAUAAGCAAAGAAAAACAACACUCCAUCAUUACUUUAAGACAGGAAGGUCAGUCAAUCUGGAAAAUUUCAAGAGCUUUAGAAGUUUCUUCAAGCGCAGUCGCAAAAAAACAUGAAGUACUAUGAUGAAACUGGCUCUCAUGAUGACCACCACAGUAAAGGAAGACCCAGAGUUACCUCUGCUGCAGAGGAUACGUUCAUUAGAGUUACCAGCCACAGAAAUUGCAGCCCAAAUAAAUGCUUCACAUAGUUGAAGUAACAGACACAUCUCAACAUCAACUGUUCAGAAGAGACUGCAUGAAUCAGGCCUUCAUGGUUGAAUUGCUGCAAAAAAAACACUACUAAAGGACACCAAUAAUAAGAAGAGACUUGCUUGGGUCAAGAAACAUGAGCAAUGGACAUUAGACUCAUGGAAAAUUGUCCUUUGGUCUGAUGAGCCCAAAUAUGAGAUUUUUGGUUCCAACCUCCAUUUCUUUGUAAGACGCAGAGUAGGUGAACAGAUGAUCUCCGAAUGUGUGGUUCCCACCGUGAAGCAUGGAGGAGGAGGUGUGAUGUUGUGGGGGUGCUUUGCUGGUGACACUGUCUGUGAUUUAUUUAGAAUUCAAAGCAAACUUAACCAGCAUGGCUACCACAGCAUUCUGCAGCGAUACGCCAUCCCAUCUGGUUUGCGCUUGAUUUGUUUUUCAAUAGGAAAAUUACCAAAAACACUUCCAGGCAGUCUAAGGGCUAUUUGACCAAGAAGGAGAGUGAUGGAGUGCUGCAUCAGAAGACCUGGCCUACACAAUCGCCCAACCUCAACCCAAUUGAUAUGGUUUGGGAUGAGUUGGACCGCAGAGUGAAGGAAAAGCAGCCAACAAGUGCUCAGCAUAUGUGGGAAGUCCUUCAAGACUGUUGGAAAAGCAUUCCAGGUGAAGCUGGUUAAGAGAAAGCCAAGAGUGUGCAAAGCUGUCAAGGCAAAGGGUACAUGUGCAGGAUGCUACCUUCCACAGCAUGGCCUUCGCUCCAGAUCAAAACUCCAAAACCUAAUUUUUACCAAAAUUAACAAGGGGAAAUUACUGCUUCCAAG
RNAcentral lists this long non-coding RNA (1091 nucleotides) under Salmo salar (Atlantic salmon). Its description in RNAcentral is "lncRNA (ENSSSAG00000114766.1)". Lineage: Eukaryota; Metazoa; Chordata; Actinopteri; Salmoniformes; Salmonidae. The record is from RNAcentral.